This 334-nucleotide ribosomal RNA is filed under the name Amanita sp. 'banningiana'. RNAcentral's name for it is "eukaryotic LSU rRNA". It matches the Rfam family "Eukaryotic large subunit ribosomal RNA", at positions 1 to 326 of the family's 3401-position model. Lineage: Eukaryota; Fungi; Basidiomycota; Agaricomycetes; Agaricales; Amanitaceae. The record is from RNAcentral.
UUGACCUCAAAUCAGGUAGGACUACCCGCUGAACUUAAGCAUAUCAAUAAGCGGAGGAAAAGAAACUAACAAGGAUUCCCCUAGUAACUGCGAGUGAAGCGGGAAAAGCUCAAAUUUAAAAUCUGGCAGUCUUUGGCUGUCUGAGUUGUAAUCUAGAGAAGUGUUGCCCACACUGGACCGUGUAUAAGUCUUCUGGAAUGAAGCGUCAUAGAGGGUGAGAAUCCCGUCUUUGACAUGGACUCCCCAGUGUAUUGUGGCGUGCUCUCAAAGAGUCGAGUUGUUUGGGAAUGCAGCUCUAAAUGGGUGGUAACCUCCAUCUAAAGCUAAAUAUUGG